Non-coding RNA from Xyrichtys novacula (pearly razorfish), 5474 nucleotides. The record is from the annotation of a GenBank genome assembly. Lineage: Eukaryota; Metazoa; Chordata; Actinopteri; Labriformes; Labridae.
GCAAAUUUGGUGUCAGUGGGACGAAAGCCUUAGGAGGAGUUAGCCACAUUCCAAUGUGUGCGAAUCGGCAAAAAAUGCAAAAUAGCCCUUUAACCGUACAUUUGACAGAUACACGCCCAUUGACUUUUUCGUAGAUCUUAUUGAGAUACACGUGAUUGUCAAAUUUUGUGUCAAUAUGACAAAGCGUAUAGGCGUGAAUCUCAACAAUAUGUAUUUUCACCUUAGGGGACAAGAAAAAAUGGACUUUUUUCUCCUGCCAUGGGGGGCGCUCUUUUGGGGAGUAAAAAUUCCUUCACAAAUGUGUUGAUGGCUGGACAUUGCAUCAUCCUAGAAAACCUGGAGGCCAGUGAGGACAAAAAUAAGAAGUUAUAAGACUUUUAAAUAUGUGGAUUUUAGGGUUAUCUUUGGCGCCCCCUAGAACCUAAACCGUGGGGUGCAGCGUCAUGAUUUGAAUAACUUUUAAUGGCCAUGGGGUGUAGAUUGGCCUGAGCAAAUGUGGUGCCAGUGGAACGAAAGCCUUAGGAGGAGUUAGCCACAUUCCAAUGUGUGCGGAUCGGCAAAAAAUGCGGAAUAACCCUUUAACCGUACAUUUGACAGAUAUGCGCGCAUUGACUUUUUCGUAGAUCUUAUUGAGAUACAUGUGUGUGUUAAUAUUUGUGUCAUUUUGCCAAAGCGUACAGGCGUGACACUAAACAAUGUGUAUUUUCACCUUAGGGGACAAGAAAAAAUAGACUUUUUUCUCCUGCCAUGGGGGGCGCUCUUUUGGGGAGUAAAAUUUCCUUCACAAAUGUGUUGAUGGCUGGACAUUGCAUUAUCCUAGAAAACUUGGAGGCCAGUGAGGACAAAAAUAAAAAGUUAUAAGACUUUUAAGAAUGUGGAUUUUUGGGUUAUCUUUGGCGCCCCCUAGAACCUUCACCGUGGGUUGCAGCGUCAUGAUUUGUACAACUUUUAAUGGCCAUGGGGUGUAGAUUGGCCUGAGAAAAUUUGGUGCCGGUGGAACGAAAGCCUUCGGAGGAGUUAGCGAAAUUCCAAUGUGUGCGGAUCGGCAAAAAAUGCAAAAUAGCCCUUUAACCGUACAUUAUACAGAUACGCGCUCUAUGACUUUUUUGUAGAUCUUAUUGAGAUACACGUGAUUGUCAAAUGUUUUGUCAAUAUGACAAAGCGUUUAGGCGUGACACUCAACAAUGUGUAUUUUCAUGUUAGGGGACAAGAAAAACUUGACUUUUUUCUCCUGCCAUGGGGGGGCGCUCUUUUGGGGAGUAAAAAUUCCUUCACAAAUGUGUUGAUGGCUUGACAUGGCAUCAUCCUAGAAAACUUGGAGGCCAGUGAGGACAAAAAUAAAAAGUUAUAAGACUUUUAAGAAUGUGGAUUUUUGGGUUAUCUUUGGCGCCCCCUAGAACGUAAACCGUGGGGUGCAGCAUCAUGAUUUGUACAACUUUUAAUGGCCAUGGGGUGUAGAUUGGCCUGAGCAAAUGUGGUGCCGGUGGAACGAAAGCCUUCGGAGGAGUUAGCGAAAUUCCAAUGUGUGCGGAUCGGCAAAAAAUGCGAAAUAGCCCUUUAACGGUACAUUUGACAGAUACGCCCGCACUGACUUUUUUGUAGAUCUUAUUGAGAUACACAUGUGUGUCAAAUUUUGUGUCAUUUUGACAAAGUGCACAGGCGUGACAGGUGAGUUUUCACCAUAGGGGGCGCUAUGCAGCCAUUUUUCAUUUUUUUGUUUGGGCGACUUCAGAAUAUCAAAUUUUUCACCAGGCCCGGUCGUCCUGCCAAAUUUCCUGAGUUUUCGCCAGUGGGAAGUGGGCCAUUUUCCAGUUUAAAGCGGAGGAAAAAUAAUAACUAGGGCCCCGUUGGGGCACUGGCGGGCCCGAGCCGCGUCGCCGCGCCGCCCCCAGCGCGACCGCCUCCCUGAUCCAUUAGGUUUAAAUAGAAAAAGCAUUAAAAUAUGUUAGGAUUAUAGCAUAUGACAAAUGUGUGCCUCUCAGUGGCCAUAACUACUUUGUCUGCUGGCUCUGCAGUCGAUUGACGCUCCCCAGCGUUCAAGUCACAUGACAAAUUUAACCGGAUGUAGCUGCAAGACGGAGCCUCGUUGACUCUCCGUUUCAACUUAUCUCCAAAGUGAGGACCUUAAACUAUAUACCAGUUUUUAAAUUGUGUUGAUAGGCCAAAUAAAACCAGAGUUAUGAUAAAUUAUGUCUGCGAUACUUUUUUUCUGCUUAUUUUGAUCACGUUCGGCGCUCGAUCGCGCUGUAUGAGACAGGAAAACAUAGCAUGCAGACAUUAGCGACAGCUCUUACAGGCGGAAAAGGCUUGCCAAAAGAAAAAAAAAAACACACCACAACAUCUCUCCUAUUGGUGGAAAACUUCACCACAACAACCAAUCCAAAAUUAUAUGGUGACUGAUUGACAAGGGGCGGGCGCUUACGUUCUUCCUGCAACAUGAGAAGGGAUGGAGGGACUCUCAGCAGGGAUGCAGUCUGGGACACGUAGUUGCAAACCUAGCGACUUUGUUGUUAGAUUCAAUGACUUUUCAGACCCCCUAACGACUUUUUUUUUGAAAGAAAGGGACUUUUAUCGACUUCUUCUGGAGAUUAGAGACUCUGACAUGAAGCAGGCUUUUCCUUACUGAGGAGUUAGCAACGCUGCUAAGGGUGCAGAGCCACACAUGCGCUCUGAGCUCUGCAUGGGAGACUGAAGCUGACAGAGCUGCAGCAGUUAGCAGGUUUCACCCUCAGAGACCACCAGGGGUUCAUGUUGAGGCAUUUUCAGUUUGUUUUAUUGUUUUUUUGCCAUAGACACUGUCAGCACAAUCUGCAGUUACACUAACAAAAAUGCUGGACAAAACAAAGAAUUAUGGAAAAAUUACACAUGGACUAACAUAGAGGAGGAUCUACACAAGUUUUUUACAUCAUGUUUUACAUCAUGCAUCAUUUACAUCAUGUUUUUUUUGUAGUGGCAUAAAUAAAAAGUGACAUUUGUGAGACUAUACAGUGUUUUGUAAAUAAUUUUACAAAGAACGCCUGGGCCAUUGCCUGCAUUUUGAUGUAAAUAGAGGUAAAUUACUAUGUUCUUUGUUAAAAAUUUGCAUAUGUUUUGAAGUUUAAAAUUUUUAUUUGAUGUUUAAGUUUUAAAAACAGUUCAUCACACAUAUUUGUGGUUUUCAGAGUAAAAAUGUUACUUUUUUCCACUCGGAUAUUAUGUUUUGUGUGUGAAUUUGGGUCCAUUGUGUAAAAACAGUAUGUGAAAAUGAUAAAAUAACUGUAAAGUCACACAGGUGAGGUUGUGCUGAAAAAAAUGAUACCAGGCAAGGCAAGGUAAAAAUUUUUUAAGAGGAAAUAUAAAGGUAAAAUCUAAAGUAGUCAAAAACGGCCAAUAGUGACUCCCAGUCUCCAUAGACAAGUCCCUUUGGCGCCACUCAGUGGGCAAAACUACUUUGUCUGCUGUAAUGUAUAUUUGGGUCAUCUUUGGCACCCCCUAGAACGUAAACCGUGGGGUGCAGCGUCAUGAUUUUUACAACUUUGAAUGGCCAUGGGUUGUAGAUUGGCCUGAGCAAAUUUGGUGUCAUUGGGACGAAAGCCUUAGGAGGAGUUAGCCACAUUCCAAUGUGUGCAAAUCGGCAAAAAAUGCAAAAUAGCCCUUUUACCGUACAUUAUACACAUACGCGCUCUUUGACUUUUUCGUAGAUCUUAUUGAGAUACACGUGAUUGUCAAAUUUUGUGUCAAUAUGACAAAGCGUUCAGGCAUGACACUCAACAAUGUGUGUUUUCACCUUAGGGGACAAGAAAAAAUGGACUUUUUUCUCCUGCCAUGGGGGGGCGCUCUUUUGGGGAGUAAAAAUUCCUUCACAAAUGUGUUGAUGGCUGGACAUUGCAUCAUCCUAGAAAACUUGGAGGCCAGUGAGGACAAAAAUAAAAAGUUAUAAGACUUUUAAGAAUGUGGAUUUUGGGUUAUCUUUGGCGCCCCCUAGAACCUAAACCGUGGGGUGCAGCGCAUGAUUUGUACAACUUUUAAUGGCCAUGGGGUGUAGAUUGACCUGAGCAAAUUUGGUGUCAUUGGGACGAAAGCCUUAGGAGGAGUUAGCCACAUUCCAAUGUGUGCGGAUCGGCAAAAAUGCGAAAUAGCCCUUUAACCGUACAUUAUACAGAUACGCGCUCUUUGACUUUUUCGUAGAUCUUAUUGAGAUACACGUGAUUGUCAAAUUUUGUGUCAAUAUGACAAAGCGUUCAGGCGUGACACUCUACAAUGUGUAUUUUCAUGUUAGGGGACAAGAAAAAAUGGACUUUUUUCACCUGCCAUGGGGGGGCGCUCUUUUGGGGAGUAAAAAUUCCUUCACAAAUGUGUUGAUGGAUGGACAUUGCAUCAUCUUAGAAAACUUGGGGGCCAGUGAGGACAAAAAUAAAAAGUUAUAAGACUUUUAAAAAUGUGGAUUUUUGGGUUAUCUUUGGCGCCCCCUAGAACGUAAACCGUGGGGUGCAGCGUCAUGAUUUGUACAACUUUAGAUGGCCAUGGGGUGUAGAUUGGCCUGAGCAAAUUUGGUGCCAGUGGAACGAAAGCCUUCGGAGGAGUUAGCGAAAUUCCAAUGUGUGCGGAUCGGCAAAAAAUGCGAAAUAGCCCUUUAACGGUACAUUUGACAGAUACGCCCGCACUGACUUUUUUGUAGGUCUUAUUGAGAUACACAUGUGUGUCAAAUUUUGUGUCAUUUUGACAAAGCGUACAGGCGUCAGGUGAAUUUUCACCAUAGGGGGCGCUAUGGAGCCAUUUUUCAUUUUUUGUUUGGGCGACUUCAGAAUAUCGAAUUUUUCACCAGGCCCGGUCUUCCUGCCAAAUUUCCUGAGUUUUCACCAGUGGGAAGUGGGCCAUUUUCCAGUUUAAAGCGGAGGAAAAAUAAUAACGAAAGAAGGAAACAUGCAGGAACAAGAGGGCUCUCGCAGCUGCUUAGCAGCUACGCUCGGGCCCUAACUAGGGCCCCGUUGGGGCACUGGCGGGCCCGAGCCGCGUUGCGCCGCCCCCAGUGCGACCGCCUCCCCCUCCCGAUCGCGUCACACUCAAGGUCCAAAGAUGGUGUGCGCACUUGUCUGUGGUCAUUUCCCAUUAUAAUGAAUGGGAGGCGCAGUUUCUACCAAAACACUCGCUGCAGACAAACUACAUGUCCUAUUUGAAAAAAGUCUGGACCAUGAGUGAGGCCACAAACACAGCUAGGAUAUAUCCAAACGGCAAGUUGCUCCUUGUUACGGUGUUGCCGGGAGAGCGAUGCGAUUGAGCCAUUGAGUGAUGGGCAGGAAAAACUUGACUGUUUCUCCUGCCAUGGGGGAUGGGGGAUGGGGGGGGGAUGUGGAUUCUUUUAAGAAUGUGGAUAUUUGGGUCAUCUUUGGCGCCCCCUAGAACGUGAGCCGUGGGGUGCAGCGUCAUGAUUUUUACAACUUUGAAUGGCCAUGGGGUGUAGAUUGGCCUGAGCAAAUUUGGUGUCAGUGGGACGA